AGUAAUGUAUGGGGAUCUGCCCGAUAGAGGGGGAUAACUACUGGAAACGGUGGCUAAUACCGCAUAAUGUCUACGGACCAAAGCAGGGGCUCUUCGGACCUUGCACUAUCGGAUGAACCCAUAUGGGAUUAGCUAGUAGGUGGGGUAAAGGCUCACCUAGGCGACGAUCUCUAGCUGGUCUGAGAGGAUGAUCAGCCACACUGGGACCGAGACACGGCCCAG
RNAcentral lists this ribosomal RNA (222 nucleotides) under uncultured bacterium. Its description in RNAcentral is "partial 16S ribosomal RNA". It matches the Rfam family "Bacterial small subunit ribosomal RNA", at positions 109 to 334 of the family's 1533-position model. The record is from RNAcentral.